RNAcentral lists this unclassified non-coding RNA (240 nucleotides) under soil metagenome. RNAcentral describes it as "partial contains 5.8S ribosomal RNA, internal transcribed spacer 2, and large subunit ribosomal RNA". The record is from RNAcentral.
AACAAGGCGUACCUGCGGACCUGCGGAGGGAUCAUUACAGAGUUCGUGCCCUCGCGGGUAGAUCUCCCACCCUUGUGUAUUCUCUACAUCUUGUUGCUUUGGCAGGCCGUUGGUUCGCCAACCACCGGCUCGCGGGCUGGUGCGUGCCUGCCAGAGGACCUCUCAAACUCGGUUUGUCAGUGUCGUCUGAGUACCAUAACAAUCGUUAAAACUUUCAGCAAUGGAUCUCAGAUCGGAAGA